GGUGCUGCGAGUAUUAUCUUUGAAGACGAAAUUUUUGGCAGGCACUGGGCAGAAAGAUCUGUGUUUUUUAUUGUUUUCAUCGAGGUGGUGGAUACCGUGUGGAACUUUUGUAGUAACUAAGUAAUAGGCUUUAUGGUAUUGUGAUUUCUAAGAGAUGAAAAGCGGAACGCAAAAUUGUUGGAGAGAAAACAGGAAACGUAAUAUACAUUCGCAUUCUGGGAGGCAAACAAGCUCAUCGGUUAAAAUGAUUGUGUCACUGAAGUAAAUAGCAACGUAACUCGCUAAAAACAGGAAGAGAAAUGCAGCAAAAUUGGAGAUACUGUGGGAAAUUCGCAUUUGCAAAAUAAGAUGCUGAAAUAGUAGAAACACAUCACAAAUCAAGUGCCACACCAGAACUACAGGAUUGUACAACCAAUCGCUCUCUGCCACCACCCUAUAUUUUUUGGGAUGGUUACAAAGGAUAGGCCACGGCGUAUGCCGAAGAUUACUAUUUAUAUUUUACCAUCGGCGCCAAAUUAAUGUGUCUGUUAAUAUAUUAAUGUUAUGGCACUGUCAAUAGAAGUAUCACAGAUGCACUUUAAUAAAAUGAAACAUUUUACAUUCCACUGUGAAAACCCACUGUCAUGUAGUGUUUAUAGAAGUGGGUGACACUUGCAUCUCUUGUGUUGGAGUUACUGUUGCAAUUAAUGUGAUU
Long non-coding RNA from Schistocerca serialis cubense, 694 nucleotides. RefSeq lists it as uncharacterized. The transcript has 3 exons. The record is from RefSeq and is a predicted model, not a curated record. NCBI's taxonomy places the organism in Eukaryota, Metazoa, Arthropoda, Insecta, Orthoptera, Acrididae.